This 77-nucleotide transfer RNA is filed under the name Thermotoga sp. RQ7. RNAcentral's name for it is "tRNA-Ile (GAT) (tRNA-Ile-GAT-1-1)". It matches the Rfam family "tRNA". Rfam says of the family: Transfer RNA (tRNA) molecules are approximately 80 nucleotides in length. Their secondary structure includes four short double-helical elements and three loops (D, anti-codon, and T loops). Lineage: Bacteria; Thermotogati; Thermotogota; Thermotogae; Thermotogales; Thermotogaceae. RNAcentral also lists the same sequence under 3 other names. The record is from RNAcentral.
GGGCUCGUAGCUCAGCUGGUCAGAGCGCACGCCUGAUAAGCGUGAGGUCGGUGGUUCGAGUCCACCCGAGCCCACCA